ACAUUUGGCAGGCAGGCGGGCUCGCACGCCGGAGCGCUCAGCCCAGAAUUAGUGGAUUUAUUUGGAAUCUCCCUGCCUCCUCCAAGCUCCGCCGCCGCCGCCGGCUUGUGCAUAGACGGUAGCGUCAAGACACCAGCUGCACUUUGGGUUGCGGACACCCAGAGCCCAGCGCGCCUGCCCUGCGUCUCCGCACCAAGCCCUGUAGCUCCGAGAGGCAUGAACGGAAUCCGGAGGCGCCUGCCUAGCGAGCGAGGACCGGUCGGCGCUUGCCGCCCUCGGGAGCUAACCCCGAGCACCUCCAGCCAUUUGUGAACCAGGAGGCUUGACAUUCGCCAGCGCAGGGCCCCACAAGAAAAGUUGUGAUGCGAAUCUAUUU
Molecule: small RNA, 376 nt
Filed under: Pan troglodytes (chimpanzee)
Lineage: Eukaryota; Metazoa; Chordata; Mammalia; Primates; Hominidae
Description: processed transcript
Source: RNAcentral